AGUGAACGCUGGCGGUAGGCCUAACACAUGCAAGUCGAACGGCAGCACAGUAAGAGCUUGCUCUUACGGGUGGCGAGUGGCGGACGGGUGAGGAAUACAUCGGAAUCUACUUUUUCGUGGGGGAUAACGUAGGGAAACUUACGCUAAUACCGCAUACGACCUACGGGUGAAAGCAGGGGAUCUUCGGACCUUGCGCGAUUGAAUUAGCCGAUGUCGGAUUAGCUAGUUGGCGGGGUAAAGGCCCACCAAGGCGACGAUCCGUAGCUGGCCUGAGAGGAUGAUCGGCCACACUGGAACUGAGACACGGUCCAGACUCCUACGGGAGGCAGCAGUGGGGAAUAUUGGACAAUGGGCGCAAGCCUGAUCCAGCCAUACCGCGUGGGUGAAGAAGGCCUUCGGGUUGUAAAGCCCUUUUGUUGGGAAAGAAAAGCAGCAGGUUAAUCCCCCGCUGUUCUGACGGUACCCAAAGAAUAAGCACCGGCUAACUUCGUG
RNAcentral lists this ribosomal RNA (492 nucleotides) under uncultured bacterium. Its description in RNAcentral is "partial 16S ribosomal RNA". It matches the Rfam family "Bacterial small subunit ribosomal RNA", at positions 29 to 507 of the family's 1533-position model. The record is from RNAcentral.